UACGUAGGUGUCGAGCGUUGUCCGGAUUUAUUGGGCGUAAAGCGCCCGCAGGCGGCUUGGCAAGUUCGAGGUGAAAUCUCCCGGCUCAACUGGGAGGGUGCCUCGGAAACUGCCAGGCUUGAGGCAGGGAGAGGGAUGUGGAAUUCCCGGUGUAGUGGUGAAAUGCGUAGAUAUCGUAAGGAAGACCAGUGGCGAAGGCGGGUCUCUGGACAGUUCCUGACGCUGAGGCACGAAGGCCAGGGGAGCAAACAGG
RNAcentral lists this ribosomal RNA (253 nucleotides) under uncultured bacterium. RNAcentral's name for it is "partial 16S ribosomal RNA". It matches the Rfam family "Bacterial small subunit ribosomal RNA", at positions 524 to 776 of the family's 1533-position model. The record is from RNAcentral.